CACUGCUCUGAUGCGCUAGACAAAAAUUUCUUACAUAUUGCUUUGUUUCCAGUGUGAUUUUGGUACUUUGCUCUACGGUAACACUGCUUUGUGGUUGUUUAAAAAUACAAAGUAUGGCCAAUUUACACUAGGGCUGAGUUAUUCAGUUAUUGCGUUUCGUGGAAAACUCACUUAACGCACUUCUCAAAAUAAGACGGAUUUUCAAAAUUAUGUUACCAUUAGAAACAUUACUGACCGAAAUCUAUAACUGAUGAUGACGUCGAUUUUGGGCAACCAUUCGUUUUCUAGAUUUUUGCAAAAAAAUAACAAAGCCAUUCGAACCGAACAAAUACAAAAGUGAAAUAAGGAAUCUCAGUGUUUAGCGAUAGUGGUUGCAAUACAAUAAUGCGAGUUUCAGAUAAGUCUGG
Molecule: long non-coding RNA, 407 nt
Filed under: Drosophila guanche
Lineage: Eukaryota; Metazoa; Arthropoda; Insecta; Diptera; Drosophilidae
Source: RNAcentral